Molecule: long non-coding RNA, 2346 nt
Organism: Brassica napus (rape)
Lineage: Eukaryota; Viridiplantae; Streptophyta; Magnoliopsida; Brassicales; Brassicaceae
Exons: 3
Source: RefSeq, a predicted model, not a curated record
CGUCCAUGGUCCUUUCUUCAUCCCUCUCACCUUCGUCUCCGUUACCCUCGUCUCUCCACCACCGUCCAUUUCUUAUGGAAGACGGAGACCCUCCGAUCAAGGAGGAAACAGAGGAGAUAUAUAGAGAAAGGAAGUAAGGGUGAACUUUCAUUUUGAGAAUGUUUGGUGUAUAUUUGGAGAGAAAAGACAGAGGAUUCAAGAAAUUACACAAGGAGUUGAGAGAAAGAUAGGAUAAGUACUCUCUGUCUUUGACCAAUUGGAGAUAAAACAAAAAUAAGAUGUGAUGUGGUAAUGAUGAGAAGUUCUUUUUAAGAAAAAAAUCUAUAUCACCUCUUAGUGUCUCGAUCUUAAAUGUUUAUAAGUCGCUCUCUAUAAACAAUGAAUGUUAAUUUAUCCAUAUUAGGUAGUCAAAGCCAUUAAUUUAAUGUGAACAAAGAAUCGAAUGGAAAAUUACUAGUUACAACCAUUAAUAAACUCUUAUGAAACAAUAGACAAACACUCGAAUUAAGUAGUAACCAUGGUAGAAACAUUAAUUAAAAUGAUAAAAUGUAAUAUUUUUUUUUUGAUAUGUAAUAUAAUUAAAUAAAUAAAAAGGAGAGGAGUGAGCUUCUUUCACGGCCGCGCAUUGCAUGCCUUAUGGAAUGGGACGUUCUCUUCAAAGACCCGAUUUUCUCUUAUUUUACUUCUUCUCUUGCUCCUUUUCUUUUUCUCCCACGCAUUUUCUGUCUUUUUCUCGUUUUUUAAAUGUCCAAAACAAAUAAUGUAAUGAUUUAUUAUUAUAUUUUCCUUGGGAUAGAGGAUAAUAAAGAUAAUUCAAAGGUUAUUUAUGCGAUAUUUCAUGCAAAAUUACGCUGGCAUGAUCAAAUUUCAUAUGGGCAAAUUUUUAUCAUAGGAGUUUGAGUCUUAUAAGCAAAUACUUCUUUUUUAGAGAAAAAAUGCCCCUAAGGUGUCAAAUUUUAUUAGAACACUCUUCUUUAAAGAUUCUCAACUUUUCAUUAAAGCUCUAUUAAGAGUUAUUGAUGAUAUGUUCAACAGAUAAGUUUGAAGCAAUUUAUAUCCCUUAACAAAAAGAAGAAAAAGUAAUAAAAAUAUUUUAAUUAUUUUUUUCCGUUUAUUUUGUCGUAUAUAAAUAAUUCACGAGUUACACGACUUUUUUUGUUUUAUAAAAAUAAAUGUAGUCAACAUUGAUUUCUCUUGUUUUGAGUUUCGGUAUAAUUUUAAUAUUACUCAUUUUAGCUAUAAAUAUACAUACCUAUUUUGUUUAGUUACACGUGUUUCUUUACGUUAUUUUUUAAAAACAUACGUUACUUUAAAAAAAAAUAUAAAAUUAAUUAGCAUUAAACACAAUUAUUUAAUUAUAUUUAUAAAUAUUUAAAUUUAAAAAGAGCUAGCUAAAAUAUAUAAUGUUAUUGUUAUAACGUUUAGCUCGAGAAUAUAUACACAUAAUAAUUAGUAUCAUUUACCCGUGUUUUUAAUUUAUAUUAAAAUAUAAAUUAGGUAUAAUUAAGCACAUUUUAACUAAUUUUAUUAAUAAAUUAUUUAAAUAUCUCAAUACUAUUAUUUGAAAAGUCAGUUUCCUACGUGUCGGUUUCACAUUAACUUUCACAAUGGCUGAUUACAAUUAUACCCUUAAUGAAUCAAAUAUUAAAUAUAUCUAAUUGCUUUACUAAAAAUAUUUUAUUUUUCCAUUUUAUUUAUUGUUCUUUUUCUUAAUAAAUUAAAGAAUAUUCAUAAUAUUUUAACACGAAAUAUAAUUUAAAUAUAAUAUAAUUCAUAAAAAAGAAAAAAAUUACAAAAUAAUAUUUUAUUUCAAAGUAAAGAAAUAAUCUUCCAUUAAAAAGAUAAGCUUGAAAAAUAAUAUAUUUUAAAGUAAUAAGCAUUUUAUUUUAAACCAAUUUAUUUUUAUGAUUAUUUGCAAAAAUUGUUUAAAUAAAAGAAAAUAAGAUAUUUAAUAAAUAAUCAAUAUUAUUAUUUUUAUGUUGACUUAAAUUUCAUUUUUAUAUUUUUGAAAUAAUUUUUAUAAGAAAAUAUAUUAAUAAAUUUUAAAAUUAAAAUAUUUUUAUAUACAAUUUAAUUUCAUAAAAAUACGAAAAAAUCUUGGCAUUAAAGUAAAAAAAUAAUUUUCUCUUUUAAAAUUUAUAAGUUAUGUUUAAUGGUACUUUGUACCAAUCAUCAUUUUUUUUUCUAAUUUUAAUUUUUCAAAUUAACAUAUACCAAAUUGUUUUAAAAAUCUAAAGUUUAUUUACACAUCUAAAAUGAAGAGGCAGACUAAUACAUAGAAUACAAUUGAUUCAAUUUGGUUGAAUUUGAUUAAAAAUAGUUGUACUUUAAUUUGAAAAAUUAUAU